RNAcentral lists this non-coding RNA (240 nucleotides) under Beta vulgaris subsp. vulgaris (sugar beet). RNAcentral describes it as "Eukaryotic large subunit ribosomal RNA". It matches the Rfam family "Eukaryotic large subunit ribosomal RNA", at positions 3162 to 3401 of the family's 3401-position model. The record is from Rfam by way of RNAcentral. Lineage: Eukaryota; Viridiplantae; Streptophyta; Magnoliopsida; Caryophyllales; Amaranthaceae.
AGCUGGCCCGAUGUUACGCGAGUACGUAUAGGCGGCCUUUCGGGGUCGUCCAAGAUCAUAACAUUGCAAUUGGCUCUAGGGUCAACAAAAUGACCCUAUCCAGUGCUUAAUCACAAGUUUAAAUAUCGGGUUAGACAAAUCCUUUGUACACGACUUAAAUAAAGAACGAGGUAUUGUACGCAUGAGAGUGGCCUUUGUGCCACGAUCUGCUGAGAUUCAUCCUUUGUUCUGGCGAUUUGU